GGGUCGUUAGCUCAGUCGGUAGAGCACCGGACUUUUAAUCCGUUGGUCGCGCGUUCGAAUCGCGCACGACCCACCA
Molecule: transfer RNA, 76 nt
Filed under: Alcaligenaceae bacterium
Lineage: Bacteria; Pseudomonadati; Pseudomonadota; Betaproteobacteria; Burkholderiales; Alcaligenaceae
Also listed under: 2 other names
Description: tRNA-Lys
Rfam family: tRNA
About the family: Transfer RNA (tRNA) molecules are approximately 80 nucleotides in length. Their secondary structure includes four short double-helical elements and three loops (D, anti-codon, and T loops).
Source: RNAcentral